Molecule: unclassified non-coding RNA, 298 nt
Filed under: uncultured Ascomycota
Lineage: Eukaryota; Fungi; Ascomycota
Description: sequence contains ITS1
Rfam family: 5.8S ribosomal RNA (bases 1-105)
Source: RNAcentral
GAAAUGCGAUAAGUAAUGUGAAUUGCAGAAUUCAGUGAAUCAUCGAAUCUUUGAACGCACCUUGCGCUCCUUGGUAUUCCAAAGGGCAUGCCUGUUCGAGCGUCAUUUGUACCCUCAAGCUUUGCUUGGUGUUGGGUGUUUGUCCUCUCUGGAGGACUCGCCUUAAAACAAUUGGCAGCCGGCAUAUUGGUAUCGGAGCGCAGCACAAGUCGCACUUCUUUCCAUGAAUGUUGGCGUCCAUCAAGACCCUUUUUUCACUCUUGACCUCGGAUCAGGUAGGGAUACCCGCUGAGUUUAA